GAUGAACGCUAGCGACAGGCUUAACACAUGCAAGUCGAGCGGCAGCAUGUUCUUAGCUUGCUCAUGCUGAUGGCGACCGGCGCACGGGUGCGUAACGCGUAUGCAACUUGCCUCACAGAGGCGGAUAACCCGGCGAAAACCGGACUAAUACCGCGUACACUCUAUGUUGGGCAUCCAACGUAGAGGUAAUGAAAUUAGCGGUGAGAUAGGUACGCGUUCCAUUAGCUAGUUGGUGAGGUAACGGCUCAGCAAGGCGACGGUGGGUAAGGGAACUGAAAGGGGGACACCUCAGAAUGGUACCGAGACACGGACCAGAACGCGACGGGACGCAAGAGUGAGGAAUAUUGGUCGAUGAGGGAUAGCGUGAACCAGCCAAGUCGCGUGAAGAAUGACUGGCUUAGGGAAUGUAAACUGCUUUUAAACAGGAAUCGCAAGAGUAACGUGUCGCGUCUUGACUGUACCGUAUGAAUAAGCAUCGGCUAACUACGUG
Molecule: ribosomal RNA, 490 nt
Filed under: uncultured bacterium
Lineage: Bacteria
Description: partial 16S ribosomal RNA
Rfam family: Bacterial small subunit ribosomal RNA
Source: RNAcentral